GAUGAACGCUGGCGGCGUGCCUAAUACAUGCAAGUCGAGCGAACAGACGAGGAGCUUGCUCCUCUGACGUUAGCGGCGGACGGGUGAGUAACACGUGGAUAACCUACCUAUAAGACUGGGAUAACUUCGGGAAACCGGAGCUAAUACCGGAUAAUAUAUUGAACCGCAUGGUUCAAUAGUGAAAGACGGUUUUGCUGUCACUUAUAGAUGGAUCCGCGUCGCAUUAGCUAGUUGGUACGGUAACGGCUUACCAAGGCAACGAUACGUAGCCGACCUGUGAGGGUGAUCGGCCACACUGGAACUGAGACACGGUCCAGACUCCUACGGGAGGCAGCAGUAGGGAAUCUUCCGCAAUGGGCGAAAGCCUGACGGAGCAACGCCGCGUGAGUGAUGAAGGUCUUCGGAUCGUAAAACUCUGUUAUUAGGGAAGAACAAAUGUGUAAGUAACUAUGCACGUCUUGACGGUACCUAAUCAGAAAGCCACGGCUAACUACGUG
This 497-nucleotide ribosomal RNA is filed under the name uncultured bacterium. Its description in RNAcentral is "partial 16S ribosomal RNA". It matches the Rfam family "Bacterial small subunit ribosomal RNA", at positions 28 to 507 of the family's 1533-position model. The record is from RNAcentral.